GUGAGGAAUUUUCGGCAAUGGGCGCAAGCCUGACCGAGCAACGCCGCGUGCAGGAAGAAGGUCUUCGGAUUGUAAACUGCUUUUCUCGGGGAAGAAUUGAUGACGGUACCAGAGGAAGAAGCCCCGGCUGACUACGUGCCAGCAGCCGCGGUAAUACGUAGGGGGCGAGCGUUGUCCGGAGUUACUGGGCGUAAAGCGCACGUAGGCGGUCUGUUAAGUUCACGGUGACAGUCAUCAGCUUAACUGGUGAAGUGUCUUGAAAACUGACGGACUUGAGGGCCAGAGAGGGACCUGGAAUUCCGGGUGGAGCAGUGAAAUGCGUAGAUAUCCGGAGGAACACCGAAGGCGAAGGCAAGGUCCUGGCUGGCACCUGACGCUCAGGGGCGAAAGCUAGGGGAGCGAACGGGAUUAGAAACCCUAGUAGUCC
Molecule: ribosomal RNA, 427 nt
Filed under: uncultured bacterium
Lineage: Bacteria
Description: bacterial SSU rRNA
Rfam family: Bacterial small subunit ribosomal RNA
Source: RNAcentral